Molecule: microRNA precursor, 184 nt
Filed under: Marmota monax (woodchuck)
Lineage: Eukaryota; Metazoa; Chordata; Mammalia; Rodentia; Sciuridae
Source: RNAcentral
UGGAGAAAGAGAGAGGAGAGAGAGAGAGAGAGAGAGAGAGAGAGAGAGAAAGACCCAUGCCAUGGGUUUCAGACUUAUCAGCCCCCACAAUCACAUGAGCCAAUUCCUUAAAGUAAAUCAAUCAAUCCCCCCAUCUCUCUCUCUCUCUCUCUCUCUCUCUCUCUCUCUCUCUCUCUCUCUCUCU